GGUUUAAUGGCGUAGUUGGUUAUCGCAUCUGUCUAACAUGAUACAGAGCCCGUCCUUACACAAAAUGUCCCCAGUUCGAGCCUGGGUCAAAUCG
Marasmius fiardii PR-910 is the source of this 94-nucleotide non-coding RNA. The record is from the annotation of a GenBank genome assembly. Lineage: Eukaryota; Fungi; Basidiomycota; Agaricomycetes; Agaricales; Marasmiaceae.